ACGAACGCUGGCGGCGUGCUUAACACAUGCAAGUCGAACGGUGAAGGGACCGGUUUUUGCUGGUUCUGGAUGAGUGGCGAACGGGUGAGUAACACGUGAGUAGCCUGCCCCCUUCUUCUGGAUAACCGCAUGAAAGUGUGGCUAAUACGGGAUAUUCUGCGCCUGCUGCAUGGUGGGUGUGGGAAAGAUAUUGUUUCGGUGGGGGAUGGGCUCGCGGCCUAUCAGCUUGUUGGUGGGGUGAUGGCCUACCAAGGCGGUGACGGGUAGCCGGCCUGAGAGGGUGGACGGUCACACUGGGACUGAGACACGGCCCAGACUCCUACGGGAGGCAGCAGUGGGGAAUAUUGCACAAUGGGCGCAAGCCUGAUGCAGCGACGCCGCGUGAGGGAUGGAGGCCUUCGGGUUGUAAACCUCUUUCGCCAGUGAAGCAGGCCUGUCCCUUUUGUGGGUGGGUUGACGGUAGCUGGAGAAGAAGCGCCGGCUAACUACGUG
RNAcentral lists this ribosomal RNA (492 nucleotides) under uncultured bacterium. Its description in RNAcentral is "partial 16S ribosomal RNA". It matches the Rfam family "Bacterial small subunit ribosomal RNA", at positions 29 to 507 of the family's 1533-position model. The record is from RNAcentral.